GCCAGCAGCUAUAUCACCCUGCAGCUCUCAACCGGCUACCCACUGAAGCUCAGCAGGGUUGACCCUGGUCAGUACCUGGAUGGAGACCUUCUGGGAAGCUAUGGCUGCUGCUGGAA
RNAcentral lists this ribosomal RNA (116 nucleotides) under Lepisosteus oculatus (spotted gar). Lineage: Eukaryota; Metazoa; Chordata; Actinopteri; Semionotiformes; Lepisosteidae. The record is from RNAcentral.